CGGCUGACGGGUGAGUAACACGUGGAUAACCUACCUAUAAGACUGGGAUAACUUCGGGAAACCGGGGCUAAUACCGGAUAAUAUAUUGAACCGCAUGGUUCAAUAGUGAAAGACGGUUUUGCUGUCACUUAUAGAUGGAUCCUCGCCGCAUUAGCUAGUUGGUAAGGUAACGGCUUACCAAGGCAACGAUGCGUAGCCGACCUGAGAGGGUGAUCGGCCACACUGGAACUGAGACACGGUCCAG
RNAcentral lists this ribosomal RNA (244 nucleotides) under uncultured Staphylococcus sp. RNAcentral describes it as "partial 16S ribosomal RNA". It matches the Rfam family "Bacterial small subunit ribosomal RNA", at positions 96 to 334 of the family's 1533-position model. The record is from RNAcentral. Lineage: Bacteria; Bacillati; Bacillota; Bacilli; Caryophanales; Staphylococcaceae.